AUGGGAUCAAUUAUUGUCUGUUCCUUAGAGAGUGUCAAAAGACCAGACCAGCUGCUGUUGCCUGACCAAGUAUUUUUUGCCUCAGAAGAAAAUCAAAGCAAACAGAGGGAGACAGAGGAGCCAGUGGAAAAUGCUGAGGAGCAAAGAAGAUACAGCCAGCAAAGGUGUACCAGUGACAGAACUUUGAGAGUCACAACGAGGUGGAUGCACUGUACAGUGCACUGCAGGUGGUGUAUUUAUAGUAAUUUAUGCAUGAAAAAUUCUAAAAAGAAAAAUUUGUCAAAGAAUUAUCCUUUUCAAUCUCAUGAUUUGCUAUCCAGUGUAGAAUAUUAAGAAGUGCACUGCAGUUAGAAGAAAAUGAAUGCAUUUCAAUAAGCUACGGGUGUGUUUUGUAAGUGAAAGAUGAUGAACUGCUGCAGUGAUGCCAGCAAGCAACAGAUGAACUCGGCCAUAAACUUGUUCAGACAUCCACCAGUCUCUUUGCGAGUAUCCAGACCCGUUGAUGUUUGUCCAGCUCACCUGCUCUAUCCAAUCUGGAAGAUGGCCAGCAGCCUGUGUACAAAGCCCUCUUCAAGGAGAUCUUCACCUGAAUUCACCUGAAUUCAGAAAACCAAAGAGGACCUCAGUGAGAACAGGCGGCCAGUUGGGGGCAGUGAUUCACAGGGUUCUGCCAAAUGAUUGCAUUAUUCUAUAUUCUAUAGAGAUGUGUAUAGUUUUAUUAAUAUGUCAGAUAUAUCAGAUCUUCUAAUAAAAGGUAAAUUUCAGUGAUUAUCUUGCCCUCUAAAUUUACUAGUAUUGCCAAUCUAAAGCAGUAUUCAUUAUUUUGUACAUGACCACUUUCUUGAGAAAGAAAUGCACUCACUGAAUGUUGUUUGUAUGCUUAUAUAGAUUCCCCUCUAAAAGUAUUGGAAAAGUGAGGACAUUUCCCUGGGGAGGUGUUCCGGGCUUGUCCCACCAGGGAGGAGACCCCGGGGAAGACCCAGGACAGCCUGGAGGGACUAUGUCUCUUGGCUGGCGUGGGAACGCCUUCCUCAGAAGAGCUGGAGGAGGUGUCCAGGGAAAAGGAAGUCUGGGCAUCUCUGUUUAGGCUGCUGCCCCCGCAACCCGGCCCCAGAUAAGCGGAAGAAGAUGGAUGGAUGAUGAAUAAGAGACAAGAAAUCAGCAUUUCAGCUUGUAUUUCCAGGUAUUUAUAUCUGGACAUACACAACUUUGAAGAUUGCACCUUUUGAUUGAACUCACCCAUUUUUCAUGUGAGCCAAAUUCUUGGAACAUGUGACUGACAGGUGUGUUUUGUUGCCCUAGUGUGUCAUUGACCAUUCAAACAAUAAAUAGUGCUGAAUGUCUAUGCUCAGUUUCAGAUUUGUCUAUAUAUAUUUAUUUUCAUGUUAGUGUUACAGCUUAGGCUGUAUCUCAGUAUAGAAUCCUUAACAGCUAUGCAUUUUAAGGAUGAAUCACAGUUUCUGCUUAUAUAUUAUUCAGACGUUUAAGGUUUAAUAUUAUUGUUUCUUUGUUGCUAAAUAUUAGGCACAGAUAAGUCACAGUAAGUUACUGUAAUUAAAUAAAUGUACACAGUUGAUGUUUCUGAGGUUGUAAAUAUUCUCUCUGCUGGUAACUGUAGUGUACUGCUGCAAAAGGCAUCAUUGCAUGAUCACUGGUGUCCUCUGUGAAGACUAACAUGUUUUUGCUUGCAACUAAAUCUUAAAUGCUAGCGAUUAUUCUGUGUCCAGUGUCUAAAUUAAUGCUUUAUUUAAUUUUUUAGCAUGCCUCCUCAAGCUUAAUUGUAGCAUCCUCUCUUCAUGUGUGUAAUUUUUUUUAGGGACCAGGCGUGUUUUUCAGAGACCAGACAUAUUUUUCAACGAUCUGACGUUUUUUUCAGGACCAGCUGUAUUUUUCUUGACUUGACGUAUUUUUCAGACGCCAUAUGUAUUUAUCAGAGACGAGUAUUUUCCAGAGAUCAGAUGUAUUUUUCAGCACCAGACGUAUUUUCAGGACCAGCUGUAUUUUUUAAUGAUCAGAUGUAUUUUUCAGGGUUGGACAUAUUUUUCAGAGACUAGACAUAUUUUUCUGGACCAUAUUCCCCAAAUUGGGCUCACUAAGUGUUGAGUGGGAAAGUACCAUAAAUCCCAAAAUGGGAUCAGAAAUUUCACUUUUAGUCCAAAGACUAAAAAUAACUAAAACCAAGACAGACUAAAUCCAAGAGUAACUAGAACAAAGACUAACUAAAACCAAGACUAAAACCAAGAACAAGACUCACUUAAAUCAAGACUAAGACUAAUGAAAACCAAGACUGAGACUAAUGAAAAAUAAGCCUAACUAAAACUAAGACUAACUGUCUAACCAGACAAUUCAACUCUUUUGAUGUCAUAAUACACACCAUGUUUGGAGGAGAAAUGGCACUGCACAUCACCCCAAAAAUACCAUACAAGCAGUGACAUUUGGAGGUAGGAACAUCAUGGUGCAGGGCUGUUUUUCAGCAUACGUUACUGGCAAACAUCAUAUAAUUGAAGGAAGGAUGAAUGGAAAAAUGUACUGAGACAUUCUUGAUAAAAAUCUGCUGUCACCUACCAGGGUGAUGAAGACGAAACAAGGGUGGACAUUUCAGCAAGACAAUGGUCCCAAUCACAGCCAAGGAAACUCAGUUGGCUUGAGAGAAAGAAAAUAAAACUCCUAAAAUAGCCCAGCUAGUCACCUGACUUGAAUUCAGUUGAAAAUCUAUGGAAAGAACUGAAAAUCAGAGUUCAUAGAAGAGGCCCACAGAACUUUCAAGAUUUAAAGACUGUUUGUGCGGAAGAAUGGGCCAAAAUUACACCUGAACAAUGCCUGUGACUAGUUUCUCCAUACAGGAGGCGUCUUGAAGCUGUCAUACCUAACAAAGUACUUUUGUACAGAGUAUUAAAUAAAUUUCAGUAAACACGUUCAAUACUUUUCCCUGUGUCAUUUCAC
RNAcentral lists this long non-coding RNA (2943 nucleotides) under Mastacembelus armatus (zig-zag eel). RNAcentral's name for it is "lncRNA (ENSMAMG00000024827.1)". The record is from RNAcentral. Lineage: Eukaryota; Metazoa; Chordata; Actinopteri; Synbranchiformes; Mastacembelidae.